RNAcentral lists this ribosomal RNA (459 nucleotides) under uncultured bacterium. RNAcentral's name for it is "SSU rRNA". It matches the Rfam family "Bacterial small subunit ribosomal RNA", at positions 26 to 518 of the family's 1533-position model. The record is from RNAcentral.
AGAAUCAACGCUGGCGGCGUGCCUAACACAUGCAAGUCGAACGAGAAAGGGUAGCAAUACCUGAGUAAAGUGGCGCACGGGUGAGUAACACGUGACUAACCUACCUUUUAGUGGGGGAUAACCUAGGGAAACCUGGGCUAAUACCGCAUAAUACCUACGGGUCAAAGCAGCAAUGCGCUGAAUGAGGGGGUCGCGGUCGAUUAGUUAGUUGGCAGGGUAAUGGCCUACCAAGACUGUGAUCGAUAUCCGGCCUGAGAGGGCGCACGGACACACUGGAACUGAAACACGGUCCAGACUCCUACGGGAGGCAGCAGUGGGAAUUUUGCGCAAUGGGGGAAACCCUGACGCAGCAACGCCGCGUGCACGAGGAAGGUCUUCGGAUCGUAAAGUGCUGUCGAGGGGGACGAUUAUGACGGUACCCCUGGAGGAAGCCCGGCUAACGUACGCGCCAGCAGCCGC